GGCUGGUCCGAUGGCAGUGGGUUAUCAGAACUUAUUAACAUUAGUGUCACUAAAGUUGGUAUACCACCCCCCCACUGCUAAAUUUGACUGGCUUAAA
Cavia aperea (Brazilian guinea pig) is the source of this 97-nucleotide unclassified non-coding RNA. It matches the Rfam family "Y RNA". Rfam says of the family: Y RNAs are components of the Ro ribonucleoprotein particle (Ro RNP), in association with Ro60 and La proteins. The Y RNAs and Ro60 and La proteins are well conserved, but the function of the Ro RNP is not known. In humans the RNA component can be one of four small RNAs -- hY1, hY3, hY4 and hY5. The record is from Ensembl. NCBI's taxonomy places the organism in Eukaryota, Metazoa, Chordata, Mammalia, Rodentia, Caviidae.